UUCAGAAAGAUAUAAAAGUAUUUUAGCUAACGAUAUUGGUAAUAACCCUGUAUUACCAAAUAACUUAGCUCAGCACGUCAUUGAGGAUCAGCUCAAUGGUGGCACGGGGAGUAGCAUAAAUAUUAGUGAUCGUGUGGGCCUAAAAUUAGCCAUCACUUUAAGUUUGUUACAAAAUAGUCAUUGUCUAAUUAUAGAUUACAUUGCUGGCAACCCGACACAAAUGAAGAUAAAAUCUAAAAUCAAUUAGAUUUAUGCCUAUGCUAGGAUGAGUAUCAAUUUAUCUUAUAGUGCCUACUACAUAAUACUAUAGGUGUUUACAAAUUAUUAAAAAUAAUAAUUAAAAAAAAGGAACUCGGCAAAUUGUGUUGCUUCGCCUGUUUAUCAAAAACAUGGUUCCCCGACUAAAAAAAAUGAGGAAUCAGGCCUGCCCAGUGAAGAAUUCAACGGCCGCGGUACUCUGACCGUGCAAAGGUAGCAUAAUCAUUUGCCUUAUAAUUGAAGGCUAGUAUGAAUGGUUGAACGUGAGUAACGCUGUCUUCUUUUUUAUUUUUUAAAAAUUAACUUUUAGGUGAAGAGGCCUAAAUCUGAUUAAAGGACAAGAAGACCCUGUCGAGCUUAAAAAACAAGAAGAAGUUUAAUAUUAAUAAAAUUUUGCUCUUCUGGCAUUUUUUAGUUGGGGCGACUAAGGAACAAACAAAGCUUCUUUCAGCAUAAGUAGCUAAUUAGCCACGAUCCAGUUAUACUGAGUAAGAGAAUUAGUUACCGCAGGGAUAACAGCAUAAUCUCUCUUGAGAGACCUAAUCGAAAGAGGGGGUUGUGACCUCGAUGUUGGACUAGAAUAUCCUAAAGAUGCAGACGUCUUUGAAGGUUGGUCUGUUCGACCAUUAAAAUUCU
RNAcentral lists this ribosomal RNA (894 nucleotides) under Lavigeria spinulosa. RNAcentral describes it as "partial 16S ribosomal RNA". It matches the Rfam family "Bacterial large subunit ribosomal RNA", at positions 1026 to 2597 of the family's 2925-position model. The record is from RNAcentral. Lineage: Eukaryota; Metazoa; Mollusca; Gastropoda; Thiaridae.